RNAcentral lists this ribosomal RNA (472 nucleotides) under uncultured bacterium. RNAcentral describes it as "partial 16S ribosomal RNA". It matches the Rfam family "Bacterial small subunit ribosomal RNA", at positions 30 to 507 of the family's 1533-position model. The record is from RNAcentral.
AGUGAACGCUGGCGGUAGGCCUAACACAUGCAAGUCGAACGGCAGCACAGUAAGAGCUUGCUCUUACGGGUUGCGAGUGGCGGACGGGUGACGAAUAUAUCGGAAUCUACUUUUUCGUGGGGGAUAACGUAGGUAAACUUACGCUAAUACCGCAUACGACCUAGGGGUGAAAGCAGGGGAUCUUCUGACCUUGCGGGAUUGAAUGAGCCGAUGGCGGAUUAGCUAGUUGGGGGGGUAGUGGCCCACCAAGGCGAGGAUGGGUAGCCGGUCUGAGAGGGUGACCGGCCACAGUGGGACUGAGAGACGGCCCAGACGCCUACGGGAGGCAGCAGUGGGGAAUAUUGCACAAUGGGCGGAAGCCUGAUGCAGCAACGCCGCGUGCGGGAUGACGGCCUUCGGGUUGUAAACCGCUUUCGCCUGUGACGAAGCGUGAGUGACGGUAAUGGGGAAAGAAGCACCGGCGAACUACGUG